Molecule: long non-coding RNA, 1823 nt
Filed under: Anser brachyrhynchus (Pink-footed goose)
Lineage: Eukaryota; Metazoa; Chordata; Aves; Anseriformes; Anatidae
Description: lncRNA (ENSABRG00000017060.1)
Source: RNAcentral
UGGGAGGGCCAUGCGGCCAUGCCAGCUGUGGUGCCGGUGCCUUUGGCAUCCCUUUUGCCAGCAGAAGCACACGGUGGAGGUGGCAGCCUGCCUUGGAGAAGCUACAACAGACGGUCGGGGGCCGUGCCCUCCCAGUGCCUGCUUCCCCGCGGCCACUCAUUCCCCGCAGCCGCCUCCUGCUCCCUGGCUCCAAAAGCCUGCACAAGUCCAGCCUACACUCGCCGCACGCGGUGUAGAAAUGAGUCAGUCACCAGGGCUUACAAAGAUGACGCAGGCACAGCUGACACGCGUGCAUCCAGCGCGUGGGGUGGGCGAGCGGCAGAAAAUAAUGUUGUGCGAGCUGUGGUGGUGGCUAACCAGUGACACAUCGCAUGAUGCUGUCGGACAGCACUAAAAAAGUCACGUCACCACUUUGUCCCAGCAUUGAGAAAAGAUCCACACUAGAAGAGCUGACUGAUGCAUCCCCCUCCUGCAUAGAAACUUCUCCCAAAACCCCAUCUACUACCACCCAGGCUGGGCUCUGUGAAAAUCCUCAGCACAUUUACCAGGCAUAGACUACAACUGGUUGCAUUAUAUCUGACUAAUACAGGCCUUUUCACUGUGCUGUCCUCUUGUGUUACAGGAAAGCAUGUAAAGAGUUAAAAUACACUAAAGAUUUCACAGCCCAUUUUCUAUCUUUUUUACAAACACCAAUUUAGAUUUAUCACACCAAGCUGGGAACAUUUUAUGGGACCUCUGACUUAAAACAUUGGCAACACAUCACCACAGAGGUCUGCCUUUCCUUUUCCAAAAAAAAACCAUGGAAAUACUAAGCUGGAACAGGCUGAGAUGGCCAGCCAGCUGUCUGCUAUUUGAAUCCCAUGAAAACCCAAAUACAGCUGCAGAUUCAACUUUGUUCUGGUCGAAUACAGCAGUCCUGGAAUGUGCUCCUUUCCACUGGGGCAUGAAUAGUGUCAAAAUUAAUGCUGCUUUCUUAGCAGUAUGGAUAAAAAGCUGUGUGACAAUUUUCUAAAGGCAUGUGUAAAUGGGAAAUUAUUCAGGAGCUAGCUGGUUUCUAAGGAGGUCCCAAUAAGAUCAAUUCCUGACUCUUUUUCUACUGAAAAUUUUAAUCACUGAUUUGGGGAGGAGGGGGGAAAGAAAAGAAAGAAACGAAGAGAAAUCAUGACCGAGAAACUCAAGGUGGCAAAAAACUUGUUGGAUCAAGCUGUGGUCAGGGUUAGCAGAACCAAGACAUGCUCCAGGAGGAGGAGAAGGAGGAGGAGGAGGGUGCCUCCAUCAUCCCCACAAAAUGCAUGACCAUUGUCAGAGUUCUCUGUCUGUUACCUGCACCCUGGUUGGGAAGGACACUGAGAACACGAAGAGGGGUUAGGGGAAAAAAAAAAUGCAAAACGAUGAUAGAAUGUGCUAAACCAAUGUAAUGAUCCAGGAGCUCCACCAGUUUUCCUAAGCAGGAGGAAGAGUAUGAUCACAGUCUAUAACUAUCAACCUAUGGAAGAGGAUUUUGAAGUCUCUUAUUCUGCAGAGAAAAGCGUAACAGCAGUCGGUGACUUGGUGUUGAAAAUAGAAAGCUUAGAUGAGAAACAGGUCACCAAUCAUUAAGUAUGUAGGUUCUCUUACUCUGCUUAGCUUGUCGGCUUCUACAGUGCUGGAAAUUUUAAAAUCAAUUGAAUUUUUUCUAGAACAGAUGCUCUUGCUCCAAUUAAUUUGACGAAAACUUAUGGUCUGCCAUAUGCAGAUAGCCAGAGAGAUGGUCAGUAACGGUUCCCCCUGGACUUGUAAUUUACGAGAAUAAAACCGAAAUUAUUACACGUACUUGAUAUAUA